RNAcentral lists this ribosomal RNA (482 nucleotides) under uncultured bacterium. RNAcentral's name for it is "partial 16S ribosomal RNA". It matches the Rfam family "Bacterial small subunit ribosomal RNA", at positions 30 to 507 of the family's 1533-position model. The record is from RNAcentral.
AUUGAACGCUGGCGGCAUGCCUUACACAUGCAAGUCGAACGGUAACGGGCCUUCGGGUGCCGACGAGUGGCGAACGGGUGAGUAAUACAUCGGAACGUGCCCGACCGUGGGGGAUAACGAGGCGAAAGCUUUGCUAAUACCGCAUACGAUCUACGGAUGAAAGCAGGGGACCGCAAGGCCUUGCGCGGACGGAGCGGCCGAUGGCAGAUGAGGUAGUUGGUGGGAUAAAAGCUUACCAAGCCGACGAUCUGUAGCUGGUCUGAGAGGAGGAUCAGCCACACUGGGACUGGGACGCGGCCCAGACUCCUACGGGAGGCAGCAGUGGGGAAUUUUGGACAAUGGGCGCAAGCCUGAUCCAGCCAUGCCGCGUGCAGGAUGAAGGCCUUCGGGUUGUAAACUGCUUUUGUACGGAACGAAAAGCCUUCUUUUAAUACAGGAGGGUCAUGACGGUACCGUAAGAAUAAGCACCGGCUAACUACGUG